ACUCCACCAACAUGUGGGAGCUAGUAUCAAGCACGCACAUGCAGCUCAAAACACUUUGCUUAGCCACGCCCCCGCGGGAAACAGCAGUGACAAACUUUUAGCAAUAAAUGAAAGUUUAAAUUACACUGACUAUUAGAGUUGGUCAAUUUCGUGCCAGCCACCGUGGCCAUACAAUUGACUCAGGUUAAUAGAAUCCGGCGUAAAGAGUGUUUAAGAUUUUCUUCCCAAUAAAACUAAUCUAUAAUAAGUUGUAGAAAACCCCAGUUAUAGUAAAAUAUUCUAUGAAAGUGGCUUUAACACCCUGAAUACGCUAUAGCUAAGGUACAAACUGGGAUUAGAUACCCCACUGUGCUUAGCCCUAAACCUCAAUAACUUAACCAACAAAAUUAUUCAUUAGAACACUACAAGCAAUAGGUUGAAACUCAAAGGACCUGGCGGUGCUUUAUGUCCUUCUAGAGGAGCCUGUUCUAUAAUCGAUUAACCCUUACAGACCUUACCACAUCUUGCCCUCAGCCUGCAUACCGCCAUCUUCAGCAAACUCCUUAAAGAUCAUAAAGCAAGCACAAGUAUUGUCAUAAAAACGUGAGGUCAAGGUGCAGCCAAAGAAGUGGGAAGAAAUGGGCUACAUUUUCUAAAUGAGAAAACUAUACACUAGUCUUUAUGAAAUCUAAAGACCUAAGUUGGAUUUAGCAGUAAAUCAAGAAUAGAGAGCUUGAUUGAAAUAAGGUCAUGAAGCUCACACACACCGCCCGUCACCCUCCUCAAACAUCACAUUAAAGUGUUUU
Long non-coding RNA from Cebus imitator (Panamanian white-faced capuchin), 785 nucleotides. RefSeq lists it as uncharacterized. The transcript has 3 exons. NCBI's taxonomy places the organism in Eukaryota, Metazoa, Chordata, Mammalia, Primates, Cebidae. The record is from RefSeq and is a predicted model, not a curated record.